RNAcentral lists this ribosomal RNA (741 nucleotides) under uncultured soil bacterium. Its description in RNAcentral is "bacterial SSU rRNA". It matches the Rfam family "Bacterial small subunit ribosomal RNA", at positions 31 to 766 of the family's 1533-position model. The record is from RNAcentral.
GAACGCUGGCGGCGCGCCUAAUACAUGCAAGUCGAGCGAGAAGACGUAGCAAUACGUUUGUAAAGCGGCGAACGGGUGAGGAAUACAUGGGUAACCUACCCUCGAGUGGGGAAUAACUAGCCGAAAGGUUAGCUAAUACCGCGUACGCUCCUUGGACUUCGGUUCAGGGAGGAAAGCGAUACCGUGGGUAUCGCGCUCUUGGUUGGGCUCAUGUCCUAUCAGCUUGUUGGUGAGGUAACGGCUCACCAAGGCUUCGACGGGUAGCUGGUCUGAGAGGACGAUCAGCCACACUGGCACUGCGACACGGGCCAGACUCCUACGGGAGGCAGCAGUAAGGAAUAUUGCGCAAUGGGCGAAAGCCUGACGCAGCGACGCCGCGUGGGGGAUGAAGGUCUUCGGAUUGUAAACCCCUUUCGGGAGGGAAGAUGGAACGAGCAAUCGUUCGGACGGUACCUCCAGAAGCAGCCACGGCUAACUUCGUGCCAGCAGCCGCGGUAAUACGAAGGUGGCAAGCGUUAUUCGGAUUUACUGGGCGUACAGGGAGCGUAGGCGGUUCGGUAAGCCCUCUGUGAAAUCUCCAGGCUUAACCUGGAACAGUCGGAGGGGACUGCUGGGCUAGAGGACGGGAGAGGAGCGCGGAAUUCCCGGUGUAGCGGUGAAAUGCGUAGAGAUCGGGAGGAAGGCCGGUGGCGAAGGCGGCGCUCUGGAACGUUUCUGACGCUGAGGCUCGAAAGCGUGGGG